Long non-coding RNA from Biomphalaria glabrata, 409 nucleotides. RefSeq lists it as uncharacterized. Lineage: Eukaryota; Metazoa; Mollusca; Gastropoda; Planorbidae. The transcript is spliced from 3 exons. The record is from RefSeq and is a predicted model, not a curated record.
UUUAAGAAGCGGCUUAAUCUCUAUAUUCCCUUUUCAAGAAAAUAAAACCAGGAUUAUGGUCCUUUUACCAUAGAGUUCCAGAAGGAAGAAUGAAAGAAAGACAGAGCAAUGGGAAGGCUUCAAAGAAUUGGCAGGUCUGACAUUAAAUGAAGUUUUAUCCAAGGCCAAGUAAAGAGAGGAAUAAAGAAGGAUGGUUGACAGAACUUGUGUGGUGCCCCAAUGGUUCAACAGAUUAGGUAAAGUAAUUAGAUUCAUUGUGAAGAUGUGUGCACUGGGCUGGAACAUUUCCAGAGAAAGCUGGACUAGCCAUGCAUCAGCAUACUAGCCAAGAUUGAUACCUCUCCACAAAUCAACAAAGACAUCAACGAAGCUUUGUUAAAGCUAGUGACAAUUUACAUAUGUUUUCUUA